RNAcentral lists this ribosomal RNA (475 nucleotides) under uncultured bacterium. Its description in RNAcentral is "bacterial SSU rRNA". It matches the Rfam family "Bacterial small subunit ribosomal RNA", at positions 335 to 800 of the family's 1533-position model. The record is from RNAcentral.
ACUCCUACGGGAGGCAGCAGUGGGGAAUAUUGCACAAUGGGGGAAACCCUGAUGCAGCCAUGCCGCGUGUGUGAAGAAGGCCUUCGGGUUGUAAAGCACUUUCAGUGAGGAAGAAAGCCUUGGAGGUUAAUACCCUCGAGGGAGGACAUCACUCACAGAAGAAGCACCGGCUAACUCCGUGCCAGCAGCCGCGGUAAUACGGAGGGUGCGAGCGUUAAUCGGAAUUACUGGGCGUAAAGCGCGCAUAGGCGGCUUGAUAAGCCGGUUUGUGAAAGCCCCGGGCUCAACCUGGGAACGGCAUCCGGAACUGUCAGGCUAGAGUGCAGGAGAGGAAGGUAGAAUUCCCGGUGUAGCGGUGAAAUGCGUAGAGAUCGGGAGGAAUACCAGUGGCGAAGGCGGCCCCUGGCUGAUGACUGACGCUCAGAUGCGAAAGCGUGGGGGAGCAAACAGGAUUAGUUACCCUGGUAGGCUCUGC